CAGCAGCCGCGGGAAUACGAAGGGUGCAAGCGUUACUCGGAAUUACUGGGCGUAAAGCGUGCGCAGGUGGUGGUUUAAGUCCGUUGUGAAAGCCCUGGGCUCAACCUGGGAAUUGCAGUGGAUACUGGGUCACUAGAGUGUGGUAGAGGAUAGUGGAAUUUCCGGUGUAGCAGUGAAAUGCGUAGAGAUCGGAAGGAACAUCUGUGGCGAAGGCGACUAUCUGGGCCAAUACUGACGCUGAGGUACGAAAGCAUGGGGAGCAAACAGGAUUAGAUACCCCGGUAGUCCCUGUCUCUUAUAC
RNAcentral lists this ribosomal RNA (301 nucleotides) under uncultured bacterium. RNAcentral describes it as "partial 16S ribosomal RNA". It matches the Rfam family "Bacterial small subunit ribosomal RNA", at positions 509 to 807 of the family's 1533-position model. The record is from RNAcentral.